UCAAACCAUCCUACGCUAUAAGAUAUAGCUACAAUUCUAAUUAAACAGCUAUAUAUAAGCCUCCUUCAGCCUCCUAUAUCCUCUCUGCUCCAUAAUCUUUUUAUAUAUAUCGAUUUCAACUACUUUUGACUGCAGCAUGUUUAGUGGUGGAUUCAAAAUUUGAAGUACUUUAUUAUUUAUAUUAGGUUUGCCCUCGAAGCAUCACUGGGUGGGUUCUUCCAAACUUGCGAACAUGCUAUGUUGCACUUCGUCGCACAGCACCUUACUGUAAGUGUAAAGUGUAAACUAUAAGCGAGAUGUUGUUGACAGAAGAUAGAGAGCACAGAUAAUGAGGUGCUAAUUCGGAAGCUGCACCUUGAUUCUUUGUGCUCUCUAUUCUUCUGUCAUCAUCCUCAGCCCCUCCCCAACUUAAUUUGUUACUUUAAAUAUAUUUAUGUUGUUUGUAGAUUCAUCCUUAUUGUUUAAAAAUUCACUAAUGGAACUUAUAUUAAGUUGUUUAGCGUAACUUAUUAUCUUAUAUGACUUACCAUGAAGUUCGACCUGCUGCAUCCUGCACUUAAUUGGUGCUUUAAUUUGUAACUAAGGGACAUGUUUAUAUGUCUAUUCAUGAUAUAAAGGCAUGUUGCUAAUGGUUAAUUAUUUACUUCGCUAAUAUAUAAAUGCCCUAUUUUGGCUACAAGAAGCUUAAUUAUAGUUCAUCCUUUAAUUGAUCUUUUAACUUUCUUAAUUCAAAAUGUCUGAUAUCUAAUUGAUUUCUCACACACAAAUAUUUUUCAGAAAAAACACCCAAAUUCUAUUUUUCUGCUAUUUUUAAUUGUUGCCCUUGAUUGUAUUGAUAAACUAUUCUUCACUGUAUAUAUUUCCAUCCCCAAUUAUCCAGGAAGUGCUUUGUUCUCUAAUGAUAACUCUCAUGAUUUGAUGGUCAUAACCAUGUAGCUUGUCAAAUGUAUCUUGACAAAUCCUUUUCAAAGUCAAAUACUUCAAGAACCUUUCACACGCACACACCAAAACAUUCUUUGACUAAUUGUCAGAACAAGUUAAUUGUAGAGAAAAUUGCGCACUAAUUCUUUUGGGCCAUCUAAUUUUUAAAAUAAAUACACUAUGUAUAGAUAGUGUGUACUUUAUACUAAAUAUAUAUAUCUAUAGUGUAUAUAUAAUAAGGAUGUGCAUCGAUCAGUUCGAUUCGAUUUUAUGUAUUAGUGGUUCGAUUUGUCAAAAUGUUAAACUGAUAAUCAAACCAGUAAGAUAUUUGUUAUCGAUUUUCGAUUUUCGAUUUAUCGAUUUUGGUCCUUUAAUGGUUCGAUUUAUUGGUUUAAUCGAUAAGAAAAUGCUCCUUUUAUUUUCUUUACCUUCUCUUCUUAUUUUUAUAUGUUCAUAUAUAUACACUACCUUCAUGUAUAAAGCCUACAAAAAGUACAAGUAGAAGUAAAUUCAAAUACAUUUUACUAAAACAAACUUGUUUUCUUUUAGGUUAAGUAACGAUUUUGAAUACAGUAGCAACCAGUGGCGGAUCUACCCUUUACCGAGGGGGUUCAUUCGAACCCCCUUCGGUGAGAAAUUAUGCUAUAUAUGCAUGGUUAAAAUUAUUUUUUAUGUAUAUAUAUAUUAGAUGUUGAACCCCCUUCGGUUAGUUCGUAUGUUCACUUAUGAAUCCCCUUCGUAAAUAUCCUGGCUCCGCCACUGGUAGCAACCGAUAGCGAUCUUUGAAAAAAAAAUGUAGGUUUUUAAUUGAUAUUAAUGGGUGGAUAGCCAACAAGUUUAUAAAAAAAAAAGAACAAUACUAAGACAACAACACAAAAUACAAAAAACAGUAGUGUAUGUAUUUAAACUAUAAAGUCACUAUUAUAUACCUAGGGAUAAAAAUAUAAUUUUAAUAUGAUCUUAUUGGGUUAUCGGUUUAACCGUUAAUUAAAUCCUUAAAAUGAAAAAUCGAACCGAUAUUUCAAUAUGUAUUUUUUAAAAAAUUGUUAACCCGAUAACUCGAUAUCGAUAAAUCAAUAACAAUUUUUUUGGUUUGGUUUAUCGGUUAAUUCGAUUUUUACACACCCUUAAUAUAUAAUAUAUACUUUGGCUAUAUAUGAUAAACUAGAUGACCAAAUUGUACAUCUACGUAAGUUUACCUUAAUUAUAUUAACCUUUAAAGCUUUAAGUUAUUUUCUAGAAUUAGGUGUUAAGUCCUUACUCCUUAGUCUCACAUCGGCUUCACUUAAGGGAUGAUUAUCACGUCUCCUCAGAAAUUUUAACCAACAUGCCUGCUCCACAUCACACAAUGUUUUAAGAUACCUUACUAAAUAUUUUCCAUAAUGCAAGUCCGCCUCUAGUUCUAUCACAAGGUUUAUUACCAUUUUAAUUUGUUGUUUCGAGUUAAUUUGGAUGAAACAUAGAUCUACGUACAUUGGUUUGAUUCUUUUUUUUAUGUCUACAAAUAAAUGUAACUUUUGUUUUUGUUUUCCAUCCGAUGUCUGGAUUUUAUAUUGGCGUUCGACUUAUUCGAAUUCGUGUCGGGUAGGGCCCUUAUCAAGGAGUUAUCAAGGAGUUUUUCAUACUAUCCAUAGUUCAAACUCGAGACCUCUAGUUAAGGAAGGAACAGUCUUAUCUACUGCACCACAUCCUUUGGUGGUAUAAAUUUAACAUUACUUCCUUUUUUUUUUUUUUUCAAAAGGUGGCGUUUUUAUUUUUUAUUUUUUGUUUCAAAAUAAGUGGUGUUUCAUAUAAAUUAUGAAGACAUUAAUGCUGAUUUUUUUUUCAGUUUAUCCUUAUUUAAAUAAGAGAUGUUACUUUCUAAAAAUAAAAAAUGGAUAAAUAUACUUUUGAAUUAUGAUAAAUUGUAUUUAUAUAUCCUUUGUCAUACUCUGGGUACACAUAUGCCCCUACCAUUUCAUUAACAAUAGGGGCAUAUCUGUAUCAAAGUAUGACGGAGGGUAUAUACGUAUCAUUUAUUAUAGUUUGAGUGUAUAUUUAUCAUUUUUUCAUUCUAAAAAUGAUUAAUUUUCUUAAAAUAUAUGUCCAAGUUAAAAGUAAUUAUUUUGAAAUGGAAUGAGUAUAGUUUAGCUACACUACUGAAUACAAAUGGAAGUCAAAUAAUCUUCAAUGGCUGACACUGGUUUUGGAGGGGUUUUUCGAGAUAAUAAAAGAACUAACUUUUUGGAAUACUCAAGUAAGAUGGAACUGUUUUUAAGUCUCGUUACAGAACUAAGAAACAUCAAUGAAGGUUAAAUUUAACCAUAAAUUAGAAUCCCCUACUUACUAUCAAGUUUAUUGACAAGGACGACAUAAAAUAUUAUCAUGUUAGGACUAUUAUUAUUGUAGAUCGUAAAUAUUUGAUGGUAGCCAACAGGGUACUACUAUAUGGAGGAAGCUAAGCUAAUAUGCAGAUUUUCUAGCAAAUGAGGGUCACAACUCACAAGCAUGAAAAAGUAAGGUCACAAGAAUGAAGAAAGUUUGUAAUUUGGGUAGAUGCUCAACGAAAUAGAGUUUCUUCUUGAGACAAAUUUUAGACGUGCAAGUUGUGAGAGAUUUUAAAUAUAGGAACAACUGAGCAAAUCAACAACAUCCGCUUUGGGCAAAUUAAAGGAAAAUGGAAACGCAAAAGAGAGUUUUAAAUUAGAAAAUUGAUGUACUAAAGCUAUUACUAUGUCCAAACCCGAUUACAAGGACUAUCUAAUUAUGGAAAAAAGUCAUGCCGACACAAAAUUCCCAAAGAUGAGAGAAGUUGAUGUCUGGCGAAAAAACGUUUCACAUUGAUUAGGAAAAUUACAAAGCAAAUACGCAUACCCAGAAAAUGAGAGCUUGAUGGCAUAUGUCCACAUCCAAAAGAUAUAUAUAGAGUGCCAUCCUUAUCACAAACCUAAUCUUCAUAUAUUGGAGUUUUGGACUCUUAUGAACACGUUUCAGCUCUCUCAACAACCUGUUUUCCACUUACCCCCUGUGGAAACUACUAGUCCAUCAUGACACAGCUUGCAGUUUCCCCACAAAAUAAUCUUUCUAUUCACAUUUACUUGUUAAGUUUCAUCAAUGUAACUAAUCUCUAAAGUUUAACUAAAUUAUAUUAAUUUAAUUUAAUAUUUAAAUUUUAAAUCCUUGAGAAAUAUACAAAAAAAAAAGAAGUUAUAACUUCUUUUCAUAUUAAUAUAAUAAUACAAUAAAAAUACAAUUUAAAAUAUAAUCAAAAUUCAUCUAAUUUGACUCGAUAAAAUAAGUAAAAGUGAACAUAUAUAGUAGGGGUGGACGUUCGAUCGGUUCAGUCUGAUCGUUUAAUAUCGGUUCGAUUUAUCGAUUUUCGGAUUGAUAAAAAUGACAUCCGUAAUCAAAUCAAAAUAAAUUCGAUUUGGUUCGAUUUUUACAAAUUUGGUUCGGUUAUUUCGGAUUUUUAUUUCGGGUUGAAAUGUUAACGUAGUUAGCCUCUCUUUUUCAUAACUGAGUAUUUAAAAAUUGAUGGGUUUUUUUAGAAAAAUUAUUUUUUCAAACCUGUUUUUCAUUCCCAAAUAUAAAUAACUCAACAUGGAUGAAACGAAAUGAAAUAAUCAUAAGCUUAACACAAUACAUAACGUCAUUAAUCAUUACAUAUAAUAUAACCUUGCAUAAAUAGUCUACAAAACAACACAAAACUCAUAAAAAUAGUCCAUGAAACAACAUACUUUCUUCAUAAAUAGUCCAUAAAGCAGUACAAAGUCACCAAAAUAAUCCAUAAAAUAUUUGAGUCACUAAAACAAUCCAUAAACAGCCUGCGACGUAUACGAAUUUACUGUUAAAUGUUAAUUGUAAUGUGAAUUACUAAAUAUUUUAUAUAUAAUAAAAUAUAUAUUAUUUAUUUAUUUAUUUAUAAAAUUUUGGUUUUUCGGUUUAAUCGACUUUGUUUUUUUUUAAAUCGAAAAUCAAAAUUUUAAAAUUAUAAAUUGAAUCCGAUCCAAAAAAUCAAAAAUUCGAAACCAAAACUAAAAUUUGAUUUUAUUUUUUAAUUUUUUUGAUUUAAAUCAAAAUAAUGCCAACCCUAAUAUAUAGCACUAUCUCUUUUCAUGCGCAUAACAACCCAAUCACUCACUACACACAAAUUAACUCCUGUGUAUUAAUAUUUUUAUGGCUUACCAUAGGAGACACUCUCCACCAGGUCCUCCACCUCCGCCCAAUUUGGGGCCAUCGCCGCCGCCAGCGCCACCUCCAGGCCUAUAUAAUGCACCGCCACCACCUUUUCCUCCCCCAGAAGUAGUACAUGUCAGUGAAUAUGCUCCUCCGCCUCCCCCGCCUCCAUUUCUAGGGCCACCACCACCAGCUCCGGGACCACCUCCUCCACCGUAUAAUUAUGAUCUUUUUGGUCCAUCCCAACCGUUGAACUACUUUAACCCACCUUACUAGAGCUCCGCUCGGAAGAUGCAUAUAAUACAUAAGUUGGAGAAAAUAUAAUCAAGACUCAAAAGGUGACUGGAUGAGUGAUGAAGACAGGUUGGAUCACCGAGACAGUUCACAAAGUACUGUCUUAAUUAAUAGUACUGAGUAGUAAGGGUGAUGUGUUUGUAUGUAUAUAUAUGUGACUUUUUUUUGUUUUGUCCCUCCAGCUUCGGUUUCUUUGCUCUCUUGGUUAUUCGAACCCAACCACCUGAGCAACCCCGGUUAUCAUGUAUGUGACUCAAUAUAGCUUCUUGUCUACUGUCUAUUGUCUACUAGUACUCUUGCUGUUGGUUAUAAAAAGGAUCGUUUUCCUCCUCAUGGAUUUUCGAUUACCAACUACUGAAUUUAACAACAAAUAAAAAGAACUAACAGUUACAACUAUAUAUUCUAAUUAGUCAAAGAAACGGACUUCAGUUAGCUCCUGAGAUGAUCAAAAUCAUAUAAAAAGGCAACAAUUUUUUCAAUUUUUUUUUUGAAUUCCAACGGGCUUCUUCAUCAAUCCUCACUAUGUAAUUUAUCUAUUUUCCUGAAUUCGAGAAAGAAUCAGAAACUUUGGU
RNAcentral lists this long non-coding RNA (5942 nucleotides) under Capsicum annuum. Its description in RNAcentral is "long non-coding RNA (CANN_LNC003692)". Lineage: Eukaryota; Viridiplantae; Streptophyta; Magnoliopsida; Solanales; Solanaceae. The record is from RNAcentral.